RNAcentral lists this RNase P RNA (354 nucleotides) under Desulfovibrionales bacterium. RNAcentral's name for it is "RNase P RNA component class A". It matches the Rfam family "Bacterial RNase P class A". From Rfam's summary of the family: Ribonuclease P (RNase P) is a ubiquitous endoribonuclease, found in archaea, bacteria and eukarya as well as chloroplasts and mitochondria. Its best characterised activity is the generation of mature 5'-ends of tRNAs by cleaving the 5'-leader elements of precursor-tRNAs. The record is from RNAcentral. Lineage: Bacteria; Pseudomonadati; Thermodesulfobacteriota; Desulfovibrionia; Desulfovibrionales.
GGAGUCGGACAGGCUAUCGCUGCCAGCCGCAGGGCUGGGGGAGGAAAGUCCGGACACCACAGGGCAGGAUGCUGGAUAACGUCCAGCGGGGGCGACCCCGGGACAGUGCCACAGAAACAAACCGCCCUGGUGCAUCCAGGGUAUGGGUGAACAUGUGGGGUAAGAGCCCACCAGUUGUUGCGGUGACGCAGCAAGCUCGGCAAACCCCAUCUGGUGCAAGACCAAAUAGGAAGGUGACCGGCCCGGUCAUGAUCCUUCGGGUAGGUUGCUGGAGGCAGUGGGUAACUGCUGCCCUAGAGGAAUGAUAGCCGCCUGGUAUCAGGCACAGAAUCCGGCUUAUGCCCGGCUCCGUAU